UACGGAGGGUGCAAGCGUUAAUCGGAAUGACUGGGCGUAAAGCGCACGCAGGCGGUUUGUUAAGCCAGAUGUGAAAGCCCCGAGCUCAACUUGGGAACUGCAUUUGGAACUGGCAAGCUAGAGUCUUGGAGAGGGGGGUAGAAUUUCCGGUGUAGCGGUGAAAUGCGUAGAGAUCGGAAGGAAUACCAGUGGCGAAGGCGGCCCCCUGGCCAAAGACUGACGCUCAGGUACGAAAGCAUGGGUAGCAAAAGGG
RNAcentral lists this unclassified non-coding RNA (253 nucleotides) under uncultured Armatimonadota bacterium. RNAcentral describes it as "uncultured Armatimonadetes bacterium contains 16S-23S intergenic spacer region". It matches the Rfam family "Bacterial small subunit ribosomal RNA", at positions 524 to 776 of the family's 1533-position model. Lineage: Bacteria; Bacillati; Armatimonadota. The record is from RNAcentral.